GCAUAUCAGACCUUUCUCGAGCAUAGGCAUAUUGAGGUGAGGGAGUACUUGCAACGAGUGAAGGCAAAUGAUGAUUACAGCCGUCAAGUGAUGGCGGCUAUGUUGGCGUCUUGGACUAACCGCACGGAGCCACCACAAGUUGGACCCCCACCACCACCUGCGGGAGACGCCCCACACAUUCCCACGUUCGAGGAAUGGCUGGCACUAGGCGGUGAUACUCCGGGGACCGGUGGCUCGACUCCUGCUCCGUCGACCCCAGUCACUCCGAUC
Triticum aestivum (bread wheat) is the source of this 270-nucleotide long non-coding RNA. RefSeq lists it as uncharacterized. The record is from RefSeq and is a predicted model, not a curated record. NCBI's taxonomy places the organism in Eukaryota, Viridiplantae, Streptophyta, Magnoliopsida, Poales, Poaceae. The transcript is spliced from 3 exons.